RNAcentral lists this transfer RNA (58 nucleotides) under Paduniella fasciaria. RNAcentral describes it as "tRNA-Arg". Lineage: Eukaryota; Metazoa; Arthropoda; Insecta; Trichoptera; Psychomyiidae. The record is from RNAcentral.
AAUAUGAAUUAAAUUUAAUUUCGACUUAAAUAAAGAAUAUAUAAAUAUUCUCAUAUUU